AGUGGCGGACGGGUGAUUACCCCGUAAGAAUCUACCUUUAGGUGGGGGAUAACCAUUGGAAACGGUGGCUAAUACCCCAUAUGCUGAGGAGUGAAAGGAGGAAUCCACCUAAAGAAGAGCUUGCGUCUGAUUAGCUAGUUGGUGAGGUAAUAGCUUACCAAGGCAACGAUCAGUAGCUGGUCUGAGAGGAUGAUCAGCCACACUGGGACUGAGACACGGCCCAGACUCCUACGGGAGGCAGCAGUGGG
This 248-nucleotide ribosomal RNA is filed under the name uncultured bacterium. RNAcentral describes it as "partial 16S ribosomal RNA". It matches the Rfam family "Bacterial small subunit ribosomal RNA", at positions 94 to 358 of the family's 1533-position model. The record is from RNAcentral.